RNAcentral lists this ribosomal RNA (762 nucleotides) under uncultured bacterium. RNAcentral's name for it is "bacterial SSU rRNA". It matches the Rfam family "Bacterial small subunit ribosomal RNA", at positions 8 to 796 of the family's 1533-position model. The record is from RNAcentral.
AGAGUUUGAUCAUGGCUCAGGAUGAAUGCUGGCGGCGUGCCUAACACAUGCAAGUCGAGCGGCAGCGCGGGUAGUUUACUACCUGGCGGCGAGCGGCGGACGGCUGAGUAACGCGUGGGAACAUACCCCAAAGUGAGGAAUAACCGCUCGAAAGGGUGGCUAAUGCCGCAUAUGGUCUUCGGAUUAAAGGAUUUAUCCGCUUUGGGAAUGGCCUGCGUACGAUUAGAUAGUUGGUGAGGUAAAGGCUCACCAAGUCUACGAUCGUUAACUGGUCUGAGAGGAUGAUCAGUCAGACUGGAACUGAGACACGGUCCAGACUCCUACGGGAGGCAGCAGUGAGGAAUCUUCCACAAUGGGCGAAAGCCUGAUGGAGCAACGCCGCGUGCAGGAUGAAGGCCUUCGGGUCGUAAACUGCUUUUAUAAGUGAAGAAUAUGACGGUAACUUAUGAAUAAGCACCGGCUAACUACGUGCCAGCAGCCGCGGUCAUACGUAGGGUGCAAGCAUUAUCCGGAGUGACUGGGCGUAAAGAGUUGCGUAGGUGGUUUGUUAAGUGAAUAGUGAAAUCUGGUGGCUCAACCAUACAGACUAUUAUUCAAACUGGCAAACUCGAGAAUAGCAGAGGUAACUGGAAUUUCUAGUGUAGGAGUGAAAUCCGUAGAUAUUAGAAGGAACACCAAUGGCGUAGGCAGGUUACUGGGCUAUUUCUGACACUGAGGCACGAAAGCGUGGGGAGUGAACCGGAUUAGAUACCCUGGUAGUCC